GUUCUAGGGAUACAGGGAACAAGACAAGGUUUGCUAUUCGUGGAAUUCACCUCUUAAUGGAGAAAGACAGACCACAGACAAGCAAAUAACUAUCAAUAAACAAGAGUUCCUGUGGCUCCACAUCCUCACCAGCAUUUAGUGUUGGCAGCACUCUGGAUUUUGGCCAUUCUGAUAGCGUUCCUCAUGACAUCAGGCAAGCACCUGACUGAUCCAUAAGAGACUAGAGCUAGUGGGAGUUUCGACAAUUGGUCCACAAACAGAGGACUCCCAGGUUCAUCUGGACUAAAGUCAGAGACACCUUCAAACACUUGAGGGAACCAGUUCUGGGGAUGCAGUCUGGGAAUGGGUUGGCUUAGAAUCAAGCUGAGCAAUAGGGCAUUGUUGUGAUUGGGUCGAAUUGUGUUCCUUAAAAAGAUAUGACUUAGCCUCUGAAUCUGAAUGGUAGUAGAGUCUUUGCAGAUGUAAUCAGGCUAAAAUGAGGUCAUAAUGGAUUAAAGUGGGCCUUAGUCCAAUGAUUGGUAUUCUUAUAAGAAGGGGAAAUUUGAACAUAGAGAAGGCCAUGUCAAGACGAAGUUAGCGACUGACAUGAUGCAUCUACAAGCCAAAGAUUGCCAACAACCAUGAGAGGCUGGGAAGAGGCAAAGAAGAAUCCUCUCCCAGAGCCUUCAGCAAGACCAUGGCCCCACUGCCCACUUGAUUUCUGGCUUCUAGCCUCCAGAAAUGUGAGAGAAUAAAUUUCUUGUGCUUAAAAUCACCCAGUUUGUGGUAUUUUGUUAGAGCAGCCCAAGGAAACGAAUACAGGCACCUCCUCCUUUACCAAACAAUAGCAAUGGUUGGUGUUGGGGGAUAAAAAUAAUGGACAAGUUCUCAGACUCUCUCAUCUCUUGGAGGGUCCUAGCUCCACUCUCCUUGGUCUCUCCCGAGCCCCUCCUCUGAGGAAAGGAGCGUCGCUCUAUCAGCCAUUCUUGAGAUACAACUCAGGGGAAGAGAGGAGGGCAUGGAAAACAGCCAAGGGCAGGAGAGGCUGAGAGCCGGUGGAGAGCAGAGGCAUCUGCGGCAGGUGAGAGCGAUGGCGAGAGAAGGCAGAAAGAGAAGUGUGAG
This is a long non-coding RNA of Acinonyx jubatus (cheetah), 1101 nucleotides long. RefSeq lists it as uncharacterized. The transcript has 3 exons. The record is from RefSeq and is a predicted model, not a curated record. Lineage: Eukaryota; Metazoa; Chordata; Mammalia; Carnivora; Felidae.